GACGGAGGGCGCGAACGUUGUUCGGAAUCACUGGGCGUAAAGGGCGCGUAGGCGGGCCGGUAAGUCGAGGGUGAAAUUCCAGGGCUCAACUCUGGAACUGCCUUCGAAACUGUCGGCCUAGAGUGCAGGAGAGGAAGGCGGAAUUCCAGGUGUAGCGGUGGAAUGCGUAGAUAUCUGGAAGAACACCAGUGGCGAAGGCGGCCUUCUGGACUGACACUGACGCUGAGGCGCGAAAGCUGGGGGAGCAAACAGGAUUAGAUACCCUGGUAGUCCCAGCCGUAAACGAUGGGUACUAGGUGCUGGGUGCUUCGACGCACUCAGCGCCGCAGCUAACGCAUUAAGUACCCCGCCUGGGGAGUACGGCCGCAAGGCUGAA
This 376-nucleotide ribosomal RNA is filed under the name uncultured bacterium. RNAcentral describes it as "bacterial SSU rRNA". It matches the Rfam family "Bacterial small subunit ribosomal RNA", at positions 524 to 898 of the family's 1533-position model. The record is from RNAcentral.